RNAcentral lists this ribosomal RNA (468 nucleotides) under uncultured bacterium. RNAcentral's name for it is "partial 16S ribosomal RNA". It matches the Rfam family "Bacterial small subunit ribosomal RNA", at positions 28 to 507 of the family's 1533-position model. The record is from RNAcentral.
GACGAACGCUGGCGGCGUGCUUAACACAUGCAAGUCGAACGGAAAGGCCCUGCUUUUGUGGGGUGCUCGAGUGGCGAACGGGUGAGUAACACGUGAGUAACCUGCCCUUGACUUUGGGAUAACUUCAGGAAACUGGGGCUAAUACCGGAUAGGAGCUCCUGCUGCAUGGUGGGGGUUGGAAAGUUUCGGCGGUUGGGGAUGGACUCGCGGCUUAUCAGCUUGUUGGUGGGGUAGUGGCUUACCAAGGCUUUGACGGGUAGCCGGCCUGAGAGGGUGACCGGCCACAUUGGGACUGAGAUACGGCCCAGACUACUACGGGAGGCAGCAGUGGGGAAUACUGCACAAUGGGCGGAAGCCUGAUGCAGCAACGCCGCGUGCGGGGUGACGGCCUUCGGGUUAUAAACCGCUUUCGCCUGUGACGAAGCGUGAGUGACGGUAAUGGGUAAAGAAGCACCGGCUAACUACGUG